RNAcentral lists this ribosomal RNA (199 nucleotides) under uncultured bacterium. RNAcentral's name for it is "partial 16S ribosomal RNA". It matches the Rfam family "Bacterial small subunit ribosomal RNA", at positions 334 to 525 of the family's 1533-position model. The record is from RNAcentral.
UACUCCUACGGGAGGCAGCAGUGGGGAAUAUUGGACAAUGGGCGCAAGCCUGAUCCAGCAAUGCCGCGUGUGUGAAGAAGGCCUGCGGGUUGUAAAGCACUUUAAGCAGGAAAGAAGGGCGGGGUGAUAAUACCACUUCGCAUUGACGUUACCUGCAGAAUAAGCACCGGCUAACUCCGUGCCAGCAGCCGCGGUAAUA